Molecule: transfer RNA, 77 nt
Filed under: Hydrogenovibrio marinus
Lineage: Bacteria; Pseudomonadati; Pseudomonadota; Gammaproteobacteria; Thiotrichales; Piscirickettsiaceae
Also listed under: 35 other names
Description: tRNA-Met
Rfam family: tRNA
About the family: Transfer RNA (tRNA) molecules are approximately 80 nucleotides in length.
Source: RNAcentral
CGCGGGGUGGAGCAGCUUGGUAGCUCGUCGGGCUCAUAACCCGAAGGUCGUUGGUUCAAAUCCAGCCCCCGCUACCA